AAAAAAUUCUCAGGAUUUGUUCGCAAAGUUUAGAAUUCCAUCUUUUCAUUAUCAAGAACCAUUUAAACAUUGGAGAGCUGUCAGGUUUAGAUAUAAUGUUAUCAGUUUUCAUUAAACUGGUCACACAAAAAUCAAACAACUCAUUGAACUCUCAGAAAAACAACCUACUGACAAAUCAGAAAUCCCUCUGCAAUUACCAUAAAUUUGCUAUUUGACUAAUAAACAGGUUUUGUUUUAAAUGUGCACAUAUAGCUAUACUGAUAAACAUUUCAAAUAAAAAAUCAUGUUGGAAACGGAGUGGUGAAGUGGAAAACCCCCUUUCAGUUGGACUUAAAAUGGCAAGCAGCAGUAGCCAGGCCUGUUUCUAUUCCGGGAGGUAGUACUGAUGAGCCUCGACAGAUGCAGCCAUUGGAAUGUGGCAGGGACAGGGAGCAGGCACAGCUGAUUUCGCACCCUUGGCAAGAAGACAUUCUGAGAUCCCAGCUCUGUCUGGCAGGAGAGUGACAGUGACACUUUAGCAUACAUGGCUUUCAGCUUGCCCUGUGUAGAGUCUCAAGUCAAGGGUGGCAGGCUGCAGGAAGAAGCACAUUCUUAAAUAUGAAGUGACAACUCUUUUCUAGAAUCAGUUCUAGAAGCUUUCAUCAGGGAUGGGUUUGUGGCCAAAAGAACUUGAUGUAAAAGCAAUAAUUUCACAUGGAUUUACCCACUGAACAGGAGAGGGUAUCAUUGUGUUACCAUUUCUUGGCAACAUUAUUCUCAGUCUUGUGGUUCUGAUUCUAUUUUGGAUUUUGGACCUUUCAUGAUCCUCAUGAAAGUAGCUCUGAGAGACUGCAGAACACAUAAGGACACAGUAUGUUUCAGAAUAUCCCACAGGGCUCAAGGAUCGACCUGAAUCCCAACCCAGAGUAGAGUUGCCAAUAAAAUACAGGUCACCCAGCUAUAUUUGAAUUUAAGAUAAAUCACAAAUUGACUUCUAGUUUAAGUAUGUUGGACAUAUAUUGGACAAAUAUGAUUUGUGGUUCAUCUGAAAUUUAAAUUUAGCUGGAUGUCUUAUAUUUUUUAUUUGCCAAAUCUGAUGAAUUAACCCUAGACACAGAGAUCCCAAGUAAAGAACCCUGUCUUAAUUGAUUCACACCUAUCUAAUCAUGCGUUGAUUCUAGGGUUAUCAAAGUCCUAUUGAGGGGAGGUGAUAUAGGACCAAAUCUUGGCAAUUUGGGCAGCAAAAGCCAGUUAUAUAUUCUUAAC
Molecule: long non-coding RNA, 1245 nt
Filed under: Marmota monax (woodchuck)
Lineage: Eukaryota; Metazoa; Chordata; Mammalia; Rodentia; Sciuridae
Source: RNAcentral